RNAcentral lists this ribosomal RNA (306 nucleotides) under uncultured bacterium. Its description in RNAcentral is "bacterial SSU rRNA". It matches the Rfam family "Bacterial small subunit ribosomal RNA", at positions 28 to 334 of the family's 1533-position model. The record is from RNAcentral.
GAUGAACGCUAGCGGCAGGCCUAAUACAUGCAAGUCGAGCGGUAAGGUCUCUUCGGAGAUACACGAGCGGCGGACGGGUGAGUAACGCGUAUGCAACCUACCUUGUAGAUGGGGAUAGCCUGGAGAAAUUCAGAUUAAUACCUUAUAGUAUCAUUGGAUCACAUGGUUCGAUGAUUAAACGCUCCGGCGCUACAAGAUGGGCAUGCGUGACAUUAGAUAGUUGGUGAGGUAACGGCUCACCAAGUCGACGAUGUCUAGCUGGUCUGAGAGGAUGAUCAGCCACACUGGGACUGAGACACGGCCCAG